GAGGUAGUUCGUAUCCGUCGCGUCAGGACGAACGCUGGCGGCGGUGCUUAACACAUGCAAGUCGAACGGAAAGGACCCCGUCGCUUGCAGGGGUACGUCGAGUGGCGAACGGGUGGAGUAACACGUGGGUGAUCUGCCCUUCACUUCGGGAUAAGCCUGGGAAACUAGGGUCGUAAUACCGGAUAGGACCAAUCUUUAGUGUGGUUGGUGGAAGUUUUUUCGGUGGAGGAUGAGCCCGCGGCCUAUCAGCUUGUUGGUGGGGUAAUGGCCUACCAAGGCGACGACGGGUAGCCGGCCUGAGAGGGUGGACGGCCACAUUGGGACUGAGGCACGGCCCAGACUCCUACGGGAGGCAGCAGUGGGGAAUAUUGCACAAUGGGCGGAAGCCUGAUGCAGCGACGCCGCGUGAGGGAUGACGGCCUUCGGGUUGUAAACCUCUUUCGCUAGGGAAGAAGCCUUCGGGUGACGGUACCUGGAUAAGAAGCACCGGCUAACUACGUG
Molecule: ribosomal RNA, 501 nt
Filed under: uncultured Actinomycetales bacterium
Lineage: Bacteria; Bacillati; Actinomycetota; Actinomycetes; Actinomycetales
Description: bacterial SSU rRNA
Rfam family: Bacterial small subunit ribosomal RNA
Source: RNAcentral